CCUACGGGUGGCAGCAGUGGGGAAUAUUGCACAAUGGGCGAAAGCCUGAUGCAGCAACGCCGCGUGAGCGAUGAAGGCCUUCGGGUCGUAAACCUCUGUCCUCCAGGAAGAUAAUUACGGUACUUGAGAAGGAAGCCCCGGCUAACUACGUUCCCGCCGCCGCGGUAAUACGGAGGGGGCUAGGGUUAUCCGGAAGUACCGGGGGAAACGGGUGCGUAGGUGGUUUCUUAAGUCAGAGGUGAAAGGCUACGGCUAAACCGUAGUAAGCCUUUGAAACUGGGUAACUUGAGUGCAGGAGAGGAGAGUGGAAUUCCUAGUGUAGCGGUGAAAUGCGUAGAUAUUAGGAGGAACACCAGUGGCGAAGGCGGCUCUCUGGACUGUAACUGACACUGAGGCACGAAAGCGUGGGGAGCAAACAGGAUUAGAUACCCGAGUAGUC
RNAcentral lists this ribosomal RNA (439 nucleotides) under uncultured bacterium. RNAcentral describes it as "partial 16S ribosomal RNA". It matches the Rfam family "Bacterial small subunit ribosomal RNA", at positions 338 to 795 of the family's 1533-position model. The record is from RNAcentral.